GACGAACGCUGGCGGCGUGCUUAACACAUGCAAGUCGAACGGAAAGGCCCUGCUUUUGUGUGGUGCUAGAGUGGCUAACGGGUGAGUAACACGUGAGUAACCUGCCCUUGACUUUGGGAUAACUUCAGGAAACUUGGGUUAAUACCCGAUCGGCGCUCCUGCUGCUUGGUUGGGCUUGUACAGUUUUAGCGGUUGGGGAUGGACUCGCGGCUGAUUAUUUUGUUGGUCGGGGAGUGGCUUACCAUGGGUUUGGCAGGUAGUCGGGCUUAGAGGGUGACCGGCCACAUUGGGGCUGCGAUACGGCCCACACACCUACGGGAGGAAGGCGUCGGGAAUAUUGCACAAUGGGCGGAAGCCUGAUACAGCAACGCCGCGUGCGGGAUGUCGGCCUUCGGGUUGUAAAGCGCCUUAGGCUAUGACGAAGAGUGAGCGACGGCAAUGGGAAAAGAAGCACCGGCUCCCUACGGG
RNAcentral lists this ribosomal RNA (468 nucleotides) under uncultured bacterium. Its description in RNAcentral is "partial 16S ribosomal RNA". It matches the Rfam family "Bacterial small subunit ribosomal RNA", at positions 28 to 507 of the family's 1533-position model. The record is from RNAcentral.